GCGGGUGUAAUUCAGUGGUAGAAUGUCAGCUUCCCAAGCUGAAGGUCGCCGGUUCGAGUCCGGUCACCCGCU
This 72-nucleotide transfer RNA is filed under the name Synechococcus sp. SB0670_bin_20. RNAcentral describes it as "tRNA-Gly". It matches the Rfam family "tRNA". Rfam says of the family: Transfer RNA (tRNA) molecules are approximately 80 nucleotides in length. Their secondary structure includes four short double-helical elements and three loops (D, anti-codon, and T loops). The record is from RNAcentral. Lineage: Bacteria; Bacillati; Cyanobacteriota; Cyanophyceae; Synechococcales; Synechococcaceae.